ACAUACGACCAUAGGGUGUGGAAAACAGGGCUUCCCGUCCGCUCAGCCGUACUUAAGCCACAAGCCGGCCGGUUAGUAGUUGGGUGGGUGACCACCAGCGAAUCCCGGCUGUUGUAUGUU
RNAcentral lists this ribosomal RNA (120 nucleotides) under Aspergillus cristatus. RNAcentral also lists the same sequence under 1 other name. The record is from RNAcentral. Lineage: Eukaryota; Fungi; Ascomycota; Eurotiomycetes; Eurotiales; Aspergillaceae.